RNAcentral lists this transfer RNA (62 nucleotides) under Regioscalpellum regium. Its description in RNAcentral is "tRNA-Asn". Lineage: Eukaryota; Metazoa; Arthropoda; Thecostraca; Scalpellidae. The record is from RNAcentral.
UUAAUUAUAGCUAACAAAGCAGUGUCAUUGUUAAUGAUUAGAUAAGAUGAACUUUAAUUAAG